This 253-nucleotide ribosomal RNA is filed under the name uncultured bacterium. RNAcentral's name for it is "partial 16S ribosomal RNA". It matches the Rfam family "Bacterial small subunit ribosomal RNA", at positions 524 to 776 of the family's 1533-position model. The record is from RNAcentral.
UACGUAGGGUGCAAGCGUUGUCCGGAAUUAUUGGGCGUAAAGAGCUCGUAGGCGGUCUGUCGCGUCGGAUGUGAAAACCCAGGGCUCAACCCUGGGCCUGCAUUCGAUACGGGCAGACUAGAAUUCGGUAGGGGAGUCUGGAAUUCCUGGUGUAGCGGUGAAAUGCGCAGAUAUCAGGAGGAACACCGGUGGCGAAGGCGGGACUCUGGGCCGAAUCUGACGCUGAGGCGCGAAAGCGUGGGGAGCAAACAGG